Ictalurus punctatus (channel catfish) is the source of this 392-nucleotide long non-coding RNA. The record is from Ensembl. Lineage: Eukaryota; Metazoa; Chordata; Actinopteri; Siluriformes; Ictaluridae.
AGUGAUCAGAUGUACAGUAUAAACAUUGAGUGAUCAGAUGUACAGUAUAAACAGGUAGUUAGUGAUCAGAUGUACAGUAUAAACAGGUAGUUAGUGAUCAGAUGUACAGUAUAAACAGGUAGUUAGUGAUCAGAUGUACAGUAUAAACAGGUAGUUAGUGAUCAGAUGUACAGUAUAAACAGUUAACAUUGUCUGGACUGAAGGGAAUCGCUGCAGUUUUUAAAUGAGAGCCCCAGCGCUGCACUCUACGGUGCUCUUUCAUUUAACCCGUGGUCUUAUAUCGUAUAUUUUGCUAAUUUUGCAUAAUAUUUGGUUAUAUGAAGACUCUUUAUUGUGAUAUAUAACCUUGAACUGAUCAGGAUGUUCCUUCGGACACCUUAAUUACCGCUGCA